CAUGUAGGUGGCUUACUAAGUCGACCGUGAAAUCCCUUGGCUUAACCAAGGAACUGCAGUCGAAACUGAUAAGCUUGAGUGUAGAAGAGGAAAGCGGAAUUCCCGGUGUAAGAGUGAAAUCUGUAGAUAUCGGGAGGAACACCAGUGGCGAAGGCGGCUUUCUGGUCUACAACUGACACUGAAAUGCGAAAGCUAGGGGAGCAAACAGGAUUAGAUACCCUGGUAGUCC
This 229-nucleotide ribosomal RNA is filed under the name uncultured bacterium. RNAcentral describes it as "partial 16S ribosomal RNA". It matches the Rfam family "Bacterial small subunit ribosomal RNA", at positions 568 to 796 of the family's 1533-position model. The record is from RNAcentral.